CUAAGACUGGAUAGGAGACAAGAAGGCGUCUUCUUGUUUUUAAAAGACCUAGCAAUAGGUAUGCUUAGGGAGGAGCUUGCGUCACAUUAGUUAGUUGGUGGGGUAAAGGCCUACCAAGACUAUGAUGUGUAGCCGGGCUGAGAGGUUGAACGGCCACAUUGGGACUGAGACACGGCCCAAACUCCUACGGGAGGCAGCAGUAGGGAAUUUUCGGCAAUGGAGGAAACUCUGACCGAGCAACGCCGCGUGAACGAUGAAGUAUUUCGGUACGUAAAGUUCUUUUAUUAGGGAAGAAUAAAUGAUGGAAAAAUCAUUCUGACGGUACCUAAUGAAUAAGCCCCGGCUAACUAUGUGCCAGCAGCCGCGGUAAUACAUAGGGGGCAAGCGUUAUCCGGAAUUAUUGGGCGUAAAGGGUGCGUAGGCGGUUAAAUAAGUUUAUGGUCUAAGUGCAAUGCUCAACAUUGUGAUGCUAUAAAAACUGUUUAGCUAGAGUAAGAUAGAGGCAAGUGGAAUUCCAUGUGUAGUGGUAAAAUGCGUAAAUAUAUGGAGGAACACCAGUAGCGAAGGCGGCUUGCUGGGUCUUUACUGACGCUGAGGCACGAAAGCGUGGGGAGCAAACAGGAUUAGAUACCCUGGUAGUCCACGCCGUAAACGAUGAGUACUAAACGUUGGGUAAAACCAGUGUUGAAGUUAACACAUUAAGUACUCCGCCUGAGUAGUACGUACGCAAGUAUGAGACUUAAAGGAAUUGACGGGACUCCGCACAAGCGGUGGAUCAUGUUGUUUAAUUCGAAGGUAUCCGAAAAACCUCACCAGGUCUUGACAUGCUUCUGCAAAGCUGUAGAAACACAGUGGAGGUUAUCAGUUGCACAGGUGGUGCAUGGUUGUCGUCAGCUCGUGUCGUGAGAUGUUGGGUUAAGUCCCGCAACGAGCGCAACCCUUAUUGUUAGUUACCAGCACGUAAUGGUGGGGACUUUAGCAAGACUGCCAGUGAUAAAUUGGAGGAAGGUGGGGACGACGUCAAAUCAUCAUGCCCCUUAUGACCUGGGCUACAAACGUGAUACAAUGGCUGUUACAAAGUGUAGCUGAAGCGCAAGUUUUUGGCGAAUCUCAAAAAAACAGUCUCAGUUCGGAUUGAAGUCUGCAACUCGACUUCAUGAAGUUGGAAUCGCUAGUAAUCGCGAAUCAGCAUGUCGCGGUGAAUACGUUCUCGGGGUUUGUACACACCGCCCGUCA
RNAcentral lists this ribosomal RNA (1236 nucleotides) under Aster yellows phytoplasma. RNAcentral's name for it is "bacterial SSU rRNA". It matches the Rfam family "Bacterial small subunit ribosomal RNA", at positions 163 to 1399 of the family's 1533-position model. Lineage: Bacteria; Bacillati; Mycoplasmatota; Mollicutes; Acholeplasmatales; Acholeplasmataceae. The record is from RNAcentral.